CCAUUAAAAGACAAACCAGAAAAACUGGUAUUGAUACAUUCAACGUCACUGUAUUUUGAAUAUAAAAUGGAUGUAUCCUUCAAAUUCCUAUUUAGAUUCAGUCCACUUACAGAAGAAGAAUUAUCAUCAUGGAUGUUGUAAACAGACAGCCACAGUCUACGAAUGUACACAGAACAACAGAUUGGACCACAGGUGUCUGUGAGUGCUUUGAUGACAUGCCUGUCUGUCUUCUGGGUACCUUUGUGCCAUGUGUGCUUGCAUGCAUUAUAUCUAAACAAUAUGGAGAGUGUCUCUGCUUGCCUUGCCUACCAGGAACCUUGAUGUCCUUGAGAACAGGAAUAAGGGAGAGACAUCACGUGCAGGGGUCGAUUGUAGAGGACUGGUUUAUGUUGUGCUGCAUUCCUCAUUGUGCACUUUGUCAGAUGAGUCGGGAGCUGAAAAUAAGACAAUGAAGAAAUGAACCACGUUUCCUUCCAUUAGACUUUGAAAUCAGACACAAUUAUUGUGUCUUAAUAACAUGAAUGAAAGGAAGAAAAAAAUAAAAAUCAGACGUGUUAAAUAAAAAAAGCAAAACAAAAAGAAAUCUUACAUACAUGGAUUGCUACUUGAAUGCUGUUCAUUAUAUGUGUUAUAAAUAAAAUGUAUUCUUGAUGCUGUUUUCUCUUAAAAAUGGUAAACAUUUUAAGCUCUCCUGUACAAUUGUAAUGAUGGAUAAUGUUCAUCUGUGAGCUUGAGAAUAAAUAGUGAUGUCUCAAUUAAUUUUCCU
Molecule: long non-coding RNA, 766 nt
Organism: Erpetoichthys calabaricus (reedfish)
Lineage: Eukaryota; Metazoa; Chordata; Cladistia; Polypteriformes; Polypteridae
Exons: 4
Source: RefSeq, a predicted model, not a curated record